Alosa alosa (allis shad) is the source of this 1216-nucleotide long non-coding RNA. RefSeq lists it as uncharacterized. The transcript is spliced from 5 exons. The record is from RefSeq and is a predicted model, not a curated record. Lineage: Eukaryota; Metazoa; Chordata; Actinopteri; Clupeiformes; Clupeidae.
AAGCGAGCCCAAAUCAGGCGAAAACCCAGAAACAGCGAAGGAAUAACCAGACCUGCAUAGGGCUUCUUUAAGGCCCAGUCUGUCAUUCGUGAAGUCUGCAAUUCCACACUCCUCAUGGUCCUUUAGCUGUCAUCUUUCGUGAGAUGGCUGAGGGCUUCGUACCUUGAGAGCGGACACGUGGAUGGCCUGGACGUCACCUCCGUACUCCUCGCAGACGAUGUCAUGGGCCAGCAGCUGCUCCUUGACCCGCUUGGGGUCCGCCUGAGGCUUAUCGCACUUGUUCACCGCCAGGAUGAUGGGCACUGGGGACGCCAGAGGCGACAUCGCACACUCACCAAAAAGUUGCAGUCACGCACCUUUGGAUUUUUUGGCCAGCUGUAUGGACUCGAUGGUCUGGUUCAUGACCCCGUCGUCCGCAGCAACCACCAGGAUGAUGAUAUCGGUAACCAGGGCUCCACGCGCCCUCAUGGCAGUGAACGCCGCGUGGCCCGGAGUGUCCAGGAACGUGAUCUUCUCUCCGGAAGGCAGCUGGACUGGAGGGAGAUCCAAUCAAUAUGCACAGUGAGAUACACGUAUAUCACACAAAUAACGACAUUGCCGUUAAAUGUAACAUUUUUUAAAAUUUGGAAAUGUUAUCGUUCAAAAAAAGAAACUGAUAUGGAGCCAGAGUGACAGAGCUUCUCUACCCUCUCUGAAAGAAAGGCUCCUAUGUGCUGUGUGAUGCCCCCGGCCUCCAUGGCUGCCACCUGGGUCUUGCGCAGGCUGUCCAGCAGGGUGGUCUUGCCAUGGUCCACAUGGCCCAUGAUGGUGACCACCGGGGGGCGACUCACCAGAGCCGCAGGGUCAGCUGGCGGCCUGGAGACGCAAACAUUUUUUCAAUUUGGGGUUAAAUAAAGUAUUUAAAAGGGCAGUUGGGAGGUAGGCUGUUGGCCAUGGGAGAGAACACAAUUCCAGCAGAGGGUCCAGCAGAACAAAUGCACAGCAGCACAUAAAUUGGGAAAGUUUGUUUAGAUCCAGUGACACUGCAGUCAUGGAAACGGAACGUCACACUUCGGUACUCUGUUGGGAAAAUCCCUGAGCAUCUAUUACACCAAAGUAUGAUGCCAGUGUCACCUAUCUUCGAGGGAGCACAUUCCAAAAUGGACGCAUACCAGAAAGCAAGCGAGCACACAAUAGACAGCAAACAGUAAACCUGUCUCUCUCUCUUACUGUCUCU